This 253-nucleotide ribosomal RNA is filed under the name uncultured bacterium. RNAcentral's name for it is "partial 16S ribosomal RNA". It matches the Rfam family "Bacterial small subunit ribosomal RNA", at positions 524 to 776 of the family's 1533-position model. The record is from RNAcentral.
UACGUAGGUGACAAGCGUUGUCCGGAUUUACUGGGCGUAAAGAGCGCGCAGGCGGUCGAUCAAGUCGAGUGUGAAAGCCCCCGGCUCAACUGGGGAGGGUCAUUCGAUACUGAUCGACUCGAAGGCAGGAGAGGGUAGUGGAAUUCCCGGUGUAGUGGUGAAAUGCGUAGAUAUCGGGAGGAACACCAGUGGCGAAGGCGGGUCUCUGGACAGUUCCUGACACUGAGGCACGAAGGCCAGGGGAGCAAACGGG